Long non-coding RNA from Hemicordylus capensis (graceful crag lizard), 1255 nucleotides. RefSeq lists it as uncharacterized. The record is from RefSeq and is a predicted model, not a curated record. Lineage: Eukaryota; Metazoa; Chordata; Lepidosauria; Squamata; Cordylidae. The transcript is spliced from 3 exons.
UGAUGCACCUCUUGUGGAACCCCAGAGAAGGUGGCUGGCUGCGUUUGGUGGGGCUGACUGACUGGUCUACAGCCAUGAAUGGGAAGUGCUCCUUGUGGCUCUUUCCUAUUUUGACAGUAUCUAUGCAAGGUAUUUUUCAGAAGAAGGAUAACUGGAACCAGGCCCUUCAGCUGCUAUGGACAUUUCUCUGAUCCUCCCUUGAGACUGUAAUUCUGUAUUAUGCUACACAGUUUGUUUUGUGCAGGGGUGGUUAUGGGCUUUUUGGGCCCUGCUUUGCCCUUCUCCUCCUAGAAGAAGAAGAUGGUGGUGAUGAAGAAGAUGGCAGUGGUCAGUGCUGGAGACAACAGCUCUUACUGAGCACCCUUCUUAGUCCUGCUGUGUCAAGUCCAGCCUGAUUCAAAGCAUCCAGUGCUUUCCUGUGUGUGCCGGACCCUCUGUGGAGUUAUAGCCUCCCUGGCAAGCUGACGUGUCGCUUCAGACCCAGCCCUCUGAUCCUCCACUCACAACACUUCCUCAGUCUCCAAACCAAGCAACGCCUGCUGCAGCCCCAGUGCGACCCGCAUCCAGCCGUCCCGCAUUGGCCUGUGAGUCAUUUACUGUGAAUGGGUGAAAUCCUACCAUCCACCAUUACGUCUUCGCAACCAACUUGGGAAAGAGAAUCAGGCAGCUCAGAGAGGAAAGCAAGCUCACCGAUGCAGGAAUCUCCUAUUCAGAAAUCUGUCUUCAGAAACACAGCUGAAAUAUGUAAAAAUUUCCAGCCAAGUUAAUUGCUUUUGGGAAGGUUCCCGAUUCAGCCUCUGGCAUCUCCUGUCCGAAAUUCUGGAGAGCCAGUUGGAGUAGACCGAACUGAGCUGGAAGGACCAAUGGUCUGACGUGGUAUAAGCAGAUAAAUGAAGCGUCCUGGGAUCUAUGAAAACACAGCGACAAAAAAACAAAAAACCCGAUACGGUAUCUUUGUAUCGGAUGAGAAUUUGCUUGAGUGAGAGAACAUUCCAGAUGGGUUUGUAAGAGAGAAAACUGUGGACCUUGAAGUAUGUGGACCAGUGUCAUUUCACCAGGACAAACUUCCACUUGAAAAAGACAUUUCAAAUCAGAGGUCUCCAUUGUGUGGACUUUUCUUAUGCAUUCUACCAUUCUCCACAACGUGGACUUUAUUAUUUCUCCCAUGUUAUACGAUUGUUUCUCCAGUAUCAUUUCUCACGGCUUUGUCUUGCUGUAGAUUGCAUAUAUUUUUAUUAUAGAUUUAUUGGACUAA